UACAGAGGUCCCAAGCGUUGUUCGGAUUCACUGGGCGUAAAGCGCGUGUAGGCUGUCUCGCAAGUCGGGUGUGAAAGCCCUGGGCUCAACCUAGGAAGUGCACUCGAAACUGCGAGACUUGAGUCCUGGAGAGGAAGGCGGAAUUCUCGGUGUAGAGGUGAAAUUCGUAGAUAUCGAGAGGAACACCGGUGGCGAAGGCGGCCUUCUGGACAGUGACUGACGCUGAGACGCGAAAGCGUGGGGAGCAAACAGG
Molecule: ribosomal RNA, 253 nt
Filed under: uncultured bacterium
Lineage: Bacteria
Description: partial 16S ribosomal RNA
Rfam family: Bacterial small subunit ribosomal RNA
Source: RNAcentral